RNAcentral lists this ribosomal RNA (216 nucleotides) under Clostridioides difficile. Its description in RNAcentral is "partial 23S ribosomal RNA". It matches the Rfam family "Bacterial large subunit ribosomal RNA", at positions 352 to 570 of the family's 2925-position model. Lineage: Bacteria; Bacillati; Bacillota; Clostridia; Peptostreptococcales; Peptostreptococcaceae. The record is from RNAcentral.
CCACCACAGAAGGUAAUAGUCCUGUAUGUUAAACGAGAAGACUUCAGAUAUGAUCCAGAGUACCACGGGACACGUGAAACCCUGUGGGAAGCAGGAGGGACCCCCCUCCAAGGCUAAAUACUACCUAGUGACCGAUAGCGUAUAGUACCGUGAGGGAAAGGUGAAAAGAACCCCGGGAGGGGAGUGAAAUAGAACCUGAAACCCUGCACUUACAAG